AAGACUGUGCUUUCGGCAAUUGUUUCUAUAGUUGGUAACUAAAGAAAUGUAGCUGAAAAUGUUUGGCCUUGGUAGCCAUGAGGAUGAGUGAUAGUGUUCUCUUCUGAGCACGAAGUGAGCAGACAGUGUUGCUUUAAUGUCGUUGUUGUCUGCUGUUGAUGAUUGUUCUUUCUUUCCUAUUAGGAAACUAGAGGAAGAGAGCACAGGCUGAGUGG
This 215-nucleotide small nucleolar RNA is filed under the name Pelodiscus sinensis (Chinese soft-shelled turtle). RNAcentral describes it as "Small nucleolar RNA U3 (ENSPSIG00000020076.1)". It matches the Rfam family "Small nucleolar RNA U3". From Rfam's summary of the family: Small nucleolar RNAs (snoRNAs) are involved in the processing and modification of rRNA in the nucleolus. There are two main classes of snoRNAs: the box C/D class, and the box H/ACA class. Lineage: Eukaryota; Metazoa; Chordata; Testudines; Trionychidae. The record is from RNAcentral.